Molecule: ribosomal RNA, 422 nt
Filed under: uncultured bacterium
Lineage: Bacteria
Description: bacterial SSU rRNA
Rfam family: Bacterial small subunit ribosomal RNA
Source: RNAcentral
UGAGGAAUAUUGGGCAAUGCCCGCAAGGGUGACCCAGCAACGCCGCGUGGAGGAUGAAUGUCGUAAGAUUGUAAACUCCUGUUAGAGGGGAAGAAUAGUACCGGUUGGACCGGUAUAUGACUGUACCCUCAGAGAAAGCCCCGGCUAACUACGUGCCAGCAGCCGCGGUAAUACGUAGGGGGCAAGCGUUGUCCGGAUUUACUGGGUGUAAAGGGCGAGCAGGCGGGAUAAAAAGUCAGUGGUGAAAUCCUACAGCUUAACUGUAGAACUGCCUUUGAUACUUGUAUUCUUGAGUUCGGGAGAGAGUGACGGAAUUCCGGGUGUAGUGGUGAAAUACGUAGAUAUCUGGAAGAACACCAGUUGCGAAGGCGGUCUCUUGGUCCGACACUGACGCUGAGGCGCGAAAGCGUGGGGAGCAAACA